GUCAGUAAGGCAGGGAGAGGACCAACACAAUGGCACUGAUCCUCAAGAAAAUCAUUCUCAGCUUCUAAAGUUAUAAUAAUUCUCAGCUAAAGGAAGCAUACUGAACACAAGUGAGCACACCAGAUGCUGGAGCACUCCUGGGAAGAGAAACAGAAAGAGGAGGAGGAAGGGUGCCAAAAACAAUGUCUUAUUUGGCCAUUUUUCCCUUGACCCUAAUGCUAGAAAGGAAGGAGAGAGGGAAGCUUAAAUAAUUUAUAAAAUCCUGGUGAAUUGUCAAUUAAGUAAAUCCUUUUUAAAAUUUUGUUUUCUUUUAUCUUCUUUUGUUUCUUUUCUAUUAUUUAGUCCUUUAUUACCUGCACUACACAGAUGUAAAAGUAGGUAACUUUUGAAUUAAACUAUACAGUGUGUGAUCCACGGAAAACUUACAUCAUGCUACAUUCACCUGCAAGUUUUUGGCAAAUGUGAAUUUAUUAGUCAUUGAAAUAAGCCAGAAAAAAUGAAACAUACUGGUUUUGUCUUAAGCUUCCCUAGCCCUUCUCUCUCCUUGGUUCAAAUGAGUCACUGACCUGCUCUAGUACACAUCUUGGAAUCUUCGUAACUUCAUAACUUUAUCUUUUGUGAGUUCUUUCAUGCCUGGUUUGAAACUAAGGAAGUGGAAGCAGGGAAGAUAGAAGUGGAAAAUAAUGGAAUUGCUGGAAGAAAAGAAAACUAAGAGAAGAGUCACUUACCAGGACCCAUCA
This 740-nucleotide long non-coding RNA is filed under the name Homo sapiens (human). RNAcentral describes it as "HSALNT0301852". The record is from RNAcentral. Lineage: Eukaryota; Metazoa; Chordata; Mammalia; Primates; Hominidae.